Molecule: ribosomal RNA, 252 nt
Filed under: uncultured bacterium
Lineage: Bacteria
Description: partial 16S ribosomal RNA
Rfam family: Bacterial small subunit ribosomal RNA
Source: RNAcentral
UACGUAGGUCCCGAGCGUUGUCCGGAUUUAUUGGGCGUAAAGCGAGCGCAGGUGGUAUAUUAAGUCUGGUGUAAAAGGCAGUGGCUCAACCAUUGUAUGCAUUGGAAACUGGUAGACUUGAGUGCAGGAGAGGAGAGUGGAAUUCCAUGUGUAGCGGUGAAAUGCGUAGAUAUAUGGAGGAACACCGGUGGCGAAAGCGGCUCUCUGGCCUGUAACUGACACUGAGGCUCGAAAGCGUGGGGAGCAAACAGG